CUGGUAGAGAGCAAUGAAAUUGUUUUAGAGAGCAGCUUGCAGAAAACACUCCUUGAACACAAAAAUCUAGAUGCCCACGAUCCAUCUUGGACUGAAUUUUUUUCACCUCUUGCAUGCUGUUUUUAAUGUCUAAGUAAGUAAUGGAUUGGUGACACGAACACCUGCUGGAAGCCUGUGAUCCACAUAAGAGAACAGCUCUCCUAAAAGCCUGACAGCCAUCCUGCAGAGUACUUAAAUGAAUAUCUGCUGACAAACCACAGCUUUGAUCAUCCAUUCCUCACAGGGCCUGGCUGGGCACAGCAGGGCUGGAGCUCCAAGGGCUGAGCCAGGGAGCUCUGGCACAGAAUCCUUUCCCGAGCCAGGCUGCUCCUGCUGCAGCUCCACCAUCCCUCCCCACCCCAGUGCCACCCGAGGCUGUGCACAGCUUUUUGCUUCUUUAAUGCAACUGCUGCCGUACAAUGAAAUCUCUGCUGGAAAUGCCACCAGGGGAAUCUCAGUGGGUGAUAAAUCCUUAUUCCAAGUGUGGCAAGCACACCGGGGAAAGGGUAGCACCUUACAAAUAGGGCUUUGUCUGCAAAUGAGAGUUAUUUCAGGGUCUGCUAAUUUGUAACUGAGAUAGUUAAGGUAUCUCAUUUGUGAUAAAAAAAACUAACCAAGCAACCAAACAAACAAAAAAAAACCACUGUGCCAGAAAGUGUGCUGUGCAAAAUCUUUGGAAAUGUGACAGUUUCCUUGGAAAAGGAACUUCUGUGCAGGAAUUCCUUAAAAAGACAGUCAAGCAUAUUUGUCUAGUCCUUCACAAAUCUUUUCAGUUGGGAAUAUUUUCUCAGACCUCAAUCAUUCCUUUACAGGAAAAGGUAUCAUAGGUAUUCCUGUGAAUACCUAUUUAUAUAACUUGGUUCCCUUUGUAACUUUCAUUUUUCCAAAGAAUGCUUGAGAGAAAUACUGGUAUAACUCUUUCACACACACAUAAAAUAAUGCUGAAAAAUACUGAAAUUUCCUACUGUAGGAAACAGCCUACUAAAUGAAGAAUUGAGUUAAUAGGAUUUAUUUUAUUGGUGCUGUCAGGUCAGAGGUUUGAAGAGUUAAUGAUUUAACAACAGAAUGAGAGAAACAGGGAUAUUUAACUUAAGAAAAAAUGCUUUCAACUUGAAAAGGCUCAGCCAUCUGAUGAUGCUGAGAGAUGUAGAAAGGCUAUUUCUAGAAGCAAGAUUGUUGGACAAGAAUAUACUUACACAUUUAAGUAGGUGAAGACACUGCUCAGUUUAUAUGGGGAAAAUACUGACAAUACAAAUGACAGUUUAAACUGGAUGCCAAGUUGGAGAUGUGUUCAUGGGGAAAGUGGAUGAAGGACGCUUCCUGCAUGCUGAAUGAUUAAAGCACAUUUUGGUACACAGAGCAGCUCAAGGAGAAAAUGUGCUUUGAAACAAUCUGUGUAUAUUUAGUAAGGAGGCAGAUCUGAGAGUACGACACAGUGUUGUAGUUAAUAACUUGCAGUCAGUGGUGGAAAAAGGGAAAACCACCA
Molecule: long non-coding RNA, 1525 nt
Organism: Catharus ustulatus (Swainson's thrush)
Lineage: Eukaryota; Metazoa; Chordata; Aves; Passeriformes; Turdidae
Exons: 3
Source: RefSeq, a predicted model, not a curated record